This 836-nucleotide ribosomal RNA is filed under the name Wolbachia pipientis. Its description in RNAcentral is "bacterial SSU rRNA". It matches the Rfam family "Bacterial small subunit ribosomal RNA", at positions 79 to 953 of the family's 1533-position model. Lineage: Bacteria; Pseudomonadati; Pseudomonadota; Alphaproteobacteria; Rickettsiales; Anaplasmataceae. The record is from RNAcentral.
GCUAUGGUAUAACUUAGUGGCAGACGGGUGAGUAAUGUAUAGGAAUCUACCUAGUAGUACGGAAUAAUUGUUGGAAACGACAACUAAUACCGUAUACGCCCUACGGGGGAAAAAUUUAUUGCUAUUAGAUGAGCCUAUAUUAGAUUAGCUAGUUGGUGGGGUAAUAGCCUACCAAGGUAAUGAUCUAUAGCUGAUCUGAGAGGAUGAUCAGCCACACUGGAACUGAGAUACGGUCCAGACUCCUACGGGAGGCAGCAGUGGGGAAUAUUGGACAAUGGGCGAAAGCCUGAUCCAGCCAUGCCGCAUGAGUGAAGAAGGCCUUUGGGUUGUAAAGCUCUUUUAGUGAGGAAGAUAAUGACGGUACUCACAGAAGAAGUCCUGGCUAACUCCGUGCCAGCAGCCGCGGUAAUACGGAGAGGGCUAGCGUUAUUCGGAAUUAUUGGGCGUAAAGGGCGCGUAGGCUGGUUAAUAAGUUAAAAGUGAAAUCCCGAGGCUUAACCUUGGAAUUGCUUUUAAAACUAUUAAUCUAGAGAUUGAAAGAGGAUAGGGGAAUUCCUGAUGUAGAGGUAAAAUUCGUAAAUAUUAGGAGGAACACCAGUGGCGAAGGCGUCUAUCUGGUUCAAAUCUGACGCUGAAGCGCGAAGGCGUGGGGAGCAAACAGGAUUAGAUACCCUGGUAGUCCACGCUGUAAACGAUGAAUGUUAAAUAUGGGGAGUUUACUUUCUGUAUUACAGCUAACGCGUUAAACAUUCCGCCUGGGGACUACGGUCGCAAGAUUAAAACUCAAAGGAAUUGACGGGGACCCGCACAAGCGGUGGAGCAUGUGGUUUAAUUCG